Long non-coding RNA from Astatotilapia calliptera (eastern happy), 769 nucleotides. Lineage: Eukaryota; Metazoa; Chordata; Actinopteri; Cichliformes; Cichlidae. The record is from Ensembl.
UUGGAACCAGUGUCAGACCUGGAGGAGGAGCCAGACCCAGUAACAGUACAAAGUAAAACAGUUAAAGCAGCAGAGCUGGAUGUGAGGAUGAGGCGCUCUUUGCUCUGCGUGCUGGAGUUAUUCUGGCUCAGCACACUCUUCUAUGGAAAUGCUGAAGUACAGGACAAGCCCGUACUAACAGCAGACAGUACAACUAUACCAGCAGGGGGCAGUGUGACACUGACCUGUGAUGUGAAGGAAUCUGCUGACUUAAAAUAUGAGUGGUUCAGACAAACGUCAUCUGAAGAAAAGUCCAUAAUAACUGAUGAAUCAGGCAGAACGAUCUCUGUGUCUGAAGGAGGCACGUACACCUGCAGGGCUGAAGGGAAAAUUAUCAUCAUUACAGAAAGUGACUCAGUCACAGUUAAGAAAACUGGUGAGUUUAAACAUUUCACUUGAACUAAAAAAAAAUUCUGUUAUUAUUAUUAUUGUUUUUGUUGUAUUUGAGGUAUUUUUAAAGACAAAUCAGCAUUUAUUCACAUAAUUAUGAUAAAACCUGCUGCUGGAAACAACUUUUUGUAUUAUCUUUUUUUUGUUCCCUGUUUUGUUUUUGUUGUUUCUUUUUUUAACAAUAUUUGUUGAACAGUCUUAGCUGCUGUGAAACUGCAGCCCAUGUGAGUUUAUCUACAAUUCAAACUGAAGUUUCCUGUUUUCAUUUAUACGUCUGUUUAAACAGAACAUCAGGAAACAAUUAUCUUAAUUAAUUUCAAUUAAGACCCUCUAAAACCUC